Molecule: non-coding RNA, 1486 nt
Organism: Prunus avium (sweet cherry)
Lineage: Eukaryota; Viridiplantae; Streptophyta; Magnoliopsida; Rosales; Rosaceae
Source: RefSeq, a predicted model, not a curated record
AUGAUGUUGAUUAAUCAUAUUCCAGGUCCUGUAAAUGCAUCCAACCCUCAAGAAUUGGAAGUCAAGUGGUCUGACUUCCCUAGUGAUUUUGUGUUUGGAGUCUCUACUGCUGCUACACAGAUUGAAGGAUCAGCAAAAGAAGCAGGAAGAGGACCAAGUGUUUGGGACUACCAUGUUGAGAAAUUCCCAGAAAGGAUUGCAGAUCACUACAACAUGUUUACGGCCCUCGAUUCAUACAAGCGAUACAAGGAAGAUGUGAAGGCUUUGAAGAACCUUGGAGUUGGGUCUUACAGAUUUUCCAUCUCUUGGACCAGGAUUCUUCCUAAGGGAACCUUGAGUGGUGGAGUAAACCAACAAGGUAUUGAUCACUACAACAGCCUGAUUGAUGAACUAAUCAAGAAUGGUAUAAACCCUAGUUUGCGAAAAAUAUAUAUUACUCAUAUUUUCCAUAUAUCACAAAUUUACAGGAAUGAUUUCAAGGAUUAUAGUGAACUUUGCUUUAAUUUUUUUGGAGAUAGAGUAAAAAAAUUGGAUUACAAUCAAUGAGCCAUUAAUUACUGCAAAUUUUGGGUAUGAUCUUAGGGUUGAUCCACCAGCAAGGUGUUCUGUUCAAACAGCAUAUCCAUGUAAUGUUGGUGGUAAUUCAGCCACUGAGCCUUACAUUGUUGCCCAUAACAUUCUCCUUGCGCAUGCCGCUGCUGUUAAGCUCUACAGAGACAAGUUUCAGAGAAAACAAGGUGGACAAAUUGGAAUUAGUCUUGUGGGACAAUAUGUUGAACCUUAUUCAGAUUCUGCAGAAGACAAAGCUGCAGCAAAAAUAAGUUUGGAUUUUGAACUUGGAUGGUUUGUGGAACCAUUAGUGUAUGGAGCUUAUCCAAGGAGUAUGAGACAGUUGGUCAAGAACAGGUUACCCACCUUCACCGAGAAAGAGAUGAUGAUGGUCAAGCGAUCCUUCGAUUUUAUUGGCAUCAACUAUUAUACCAGCAGAUAUGGCAAAAAUGAGCCUGCAAGUCCAGGAAAACCAAUUUCCUAUAGAAACGAUCAAUUAGCUUCGUCGUGGACUAAAAAUGUGGAUGGAAUCCAAAUUGGUCCUCUGGCUUCAGGAAGCAAGUUCCUCUACAGUUAUCCCCAAGGUCUGCAGAAACUUCUAGAGUUCAUUAAGAAAGAGUACAGAGACCCUAAAAUCUACAUUACUGAAAAUGGAAUAACCGAAAAAAGGGACGAUAAACUAAGGCUUGAUGAAGCACUUAAGGAUCCACAUAGAAUUCAAUGCAUUCUUCAGCAUUUGUACCGGAUCAAGAUGGCAAUCAAGAGCGGUGUGAAUGUCAGAGGAUAUUUCCACUGGGCUCUAUUUGACGACUUUGAAUGGGGGGAUGGCUAUACCACAAGAUUUGGGGUUUAUUAUAUCGAUUACAAAGACAAUCUCAAGCGCAUUCCUAAAGUGUCAGCUAAGUGGCUCCCUAAAUUCCUAAAGGGUCAGGCUUGA